UACGGAGGUUGCAAGCGUUAUCCGGAAUUACUGGGUUUAAAGGGUGUGUAGGCGGCCUAAUAAGUCAGGAGUGAAAGUUAUCCGCGUAACGGGGAAAUUGCUUUUGAUACUGUUAGGCUAGAAUAAGGAUGAGGUAGGCGGAAUGUGGCAAGUAGCGGUGAAAUGCAUAGAUAUGCCAUAGAACACCAAUUGCGAAGGCAGCUUACUGGACCUUAAUUGACGCUGAGGCACGAAAGCGUGGGGAGCGAACAGG
Molecule: ribosomal RNA, 253 nt
Filed under: uncultured bacterium
Lineage: Bacteria
Description: partial 16S ribosomal RNA
Rfam family: Bacterial small subunit ribosomal RNA
Source: RNAcentral